RNAcentral lists this ribosomal RNA (792 nucleotides) under uncultured archaeon. RNAcentral describes it as "bacterial SSU rRNA". It matches the Rfam family "Archaeal small subunit ribosomal RNA", at positions 85 to 879 of the family's 1478-position model. The record is from RNAcentral.
AAUGCUCAGUAACACGUGGGUAACCUGCCCUAUGCUGGGGAAUAACCUCGGGAAACUGAGAAUAAUGCCCCAUAGCCCACUACGCCUGGAACGGUGAGUGGGUCAAAGCUCCGGCGGCAUAGGAUGGGCCUGCGCCGUAUCAGGUUGUAGGGGGUGUAAAGUACCCUCUAGCCAUCAACGCGUACGGGUGUUGGGAGACAUUGCCCGGAGAUGGAUUCUGAGACACGAAUCCAGACCCUACGGGGUGCAGCAGGCGCGAAAACUUGGCAAUGCGAGCAAUCGUGACCAGGGAACUCCAAGUGCGUAGGGUAAGACCUACGCUUUUCUUGACUCUUCAAAGGUCUUGGAAUAAGGGGUGGGUAAGGACGGUGCCAGCCGCCGCGGUAAUACCGGCGCCUCAAGUGGUAGUCGCUUUUAUUGGGCCUAAAACGUCCGUAGCCGGUCUGGUGCAUUCGUGGGUAAAUCAACCCGCUCAACGGGUUGAAUUCUGCGAGCACGGCCAGACUUGGGACCGGGAGAGGUGUGGGGUACUCUCAGGGUAGGGGUAAAAUCCUGUCAUCCUGAGAGGACCACCUGUUGCGAAGGCGCCACACUAGAACGGAUCCGACGGUCAGGGACGAAACCUAGGGGCACGAACCGGAUUAGAUACCCGGGUAGUCCUAGGUGUAAACGCUGUGAACUUGGUGUCGGGGAUCCGCAAUGGGUCCUCGGUGCCGGAGUGAAGAUGUUAAGUUCACUGCCUGGGGAGUACGGUCGCAAGGCUGAAACUUAAAGGAAUUGGCGGGGGAGCAC